This 481-nucleotide ribosomal RNA is filed under the name uncultured bacterium. RNAcentral's name for it is "bacterial SSU rRNA". It matches the Rfam family "Bacterial small subunit ribosomal RNA", at positions 33 to 507 of the family's 1533-position model. The record is from RNAcentral.
GACGACGCUGGCGGCGUGCCUAAUACAUGCAAGUCGAGCGGGGAUUAUGCUUGAUCGCUUCGGUGAGACGGCAUAUAUCCUAGCGGCGGACGGGUGAGUAACGCGUGGGUAAUCUACCUCGUAGUUCGGGAUAACAGGCCGAAAGGCUUGCUAAUACCGGAUGAGUUCAUGCUUAUGCAUAUAGGCAUGAAGAAAGGGCUAGCCCGCUAUGAGAUGAGCCCGCGUCCCAUUAGCUUGUUGGUGGGGUAAUGGCCUACCAAGGCAACGAUGGGUAGCCGGCCUGAGAGGGUGUACGGCCACACUGGGACUGAGACACGGCCCAGACUCCUACGGGGGGCAGCAGUAGGGAAUUUUCGGCAAUGGGCGAAAGCCUGACCGAGCGACGCCGCGUGAGGGACGAAGGCCUUCGGGUUGUAAACUUCUUUGAUGAGGGACGAAGGAAGUGACGGUACCUCAAAAACAAGCCACGGCUAACUACGUG